RNAcentral lists this long non-coding RNA (3084 nucleotides) under Betta splendens (Siamese fighting fish). RNAcentral's name for it is "lncRNA (ENSBSLG00000024933.1)". Lineage: Eukaryota; Metazoa; Chordata; Actinopteri; Anabantiformes; Osphronemidae. The record is from RNAcentral.
GACAUAUUAACACUAAUAACAAACUGCAGAACUGGAGUCUCAGUGUGGGGAAAAAAUGGCUUUUAAUAGGGGACUCGAAUUUGGCCAAACUGCCACCAUUCAAAGUGCCGGACCUCCAGGUAGACAGCUACCCAGGGGCCACGUUCAGGCACGCUGAGGCCCUGAUGAGCAAAGCCACCUGCUCCACCACGGUGGAGAAGGUGGUACUGUCGUUUGGCAUUAAUAACAGGGCUCAAAAGGUCAAGCAAACCUCUACUAAACAGCUCCAAGCGGCAAUCAGAGCCACAAAGCUUCGCUUUCCACAGGCUGAAGUCUGGGUCCCUCUGGUGAACUACUCCCCAGCGCUUCCCCUGAAAGAAAGAAACAACCUGCUGACAUUAAAUAUGUAUUUGACAAAAAAUUGUCAGUACAUACCUGAGCUGCCCAGGGCAAAGUUCAAAACAGGAGAUGACAAUAUCCACUGGACUCCAGAAACGGCCCGCCAGAUGCUGCAACAUUGGUGUAACCACAUAAACUCAAAGUCCCCAUAAGCUUGCCGGUACAAGAGGGGAACAAAAAUGUUAUGAUUCUGGCCAAAAAAUUCAAACCCACGCACUCACAACUUACCUUGCUAAAUAGGGGACUCACCUUCAUCCCCACCAGGGGAAUCAACCGGAACAUCAAAGAACAGGCGAAAUGGGACAUCCAACAGUAUCACAGGAGACUGAAGUUGGCCGUCUAUUUCAGAGGCAGGGGAAAUCAGAAACCGCCACCUUUCACUCCCGAAUCUGACUGGACUCCACCCAAGGGCACACUGCCACCUGAAAUCACUGCCCUUACUGCAGCUGAUAAGGAUCAUUUCGAUCAGAGCUUCCAGAUGUGCCGGGUCAAACACAACCUCUGCGCAGAUGAAGCCCAGGCCUUAGAAGAGCUCAGAGACAAUAAACACAUAGUUAUCAAACCAGCCGAUAAGGGCAGUGUGAUUGUGAUCAUGGACAGGGAACAGUACUUGUGGGAGGGAUAUAGACAGCUUAACAACAGAACCUACUACACCAAGCUGGACAGGCCCAUCUAUCCGGACACCAUACCCCUGGUGGACAAAAUAAUUCACACCCUGCAAGAAAAGAAAUUUAUUACGGUUAAACAGAAAAAAUAUUUACUUACCGACACAGAACCUAGAGCGAGGUUAUUUUAUAUGCUCCCCAAAAUCCACAAGGAUCCGGCAAAAUGGAGCAAACCAUUCGAAAUUCCACCUGGCAGACCAAUAGUCUCAGACUGCAGCAGCGAAACCUACCGCACUGCAGAAUAUUUGGACCACUUCCUCAAUCCGCUCUCCACCAUGCACCCCAGCUACAUUAAGGACACUUACAGCUUCGUACAAACAGUGACGAGACUACAGGUUCCACAAGACGCCAUGUUGUUUACAAUGGACAUUGACAACCUGUACACAAACAUAGACAUCAAAGAAGGCAUACUAGCAGUCAAAAACUGUUUUCAAAGGAAUCCAAACAAAAAGAGGCCUGACAAAGAGCUUCUACAGUUACUAGAGAUCAACCUGACCAAAAAUGAUUUUGAGUUUAAUGGGGAACACUUCCUACAAAUAAAGGGCACAGCCAUGGGAAAGAAAUUCGCACCAGCAUAUGCCAACGUUUUUAUGGCAGAGUGGGAGACCGGAGCACUUGCUGGGUGCCACAAAAAGCCUCUCCACUAUUUCCGUUACCUGGACGACAUCUGGGGUGUGUGGACCCACUCACAGCAGGAUUUUGAAGAGUUUUUGCACACGCUUAACCAUCACAACAGCUCCAUCACACUAAAAUCAACCACCAACCACACAACAGUAGACUUUCUGGACACAACUACGUUCAAAGGAAAAGACUUCAACAAGACAAACCGACUCGACACUAAGGUUUUUUUUAAAGACACCGACACACAUGGUCUGCUCCACAGAACUAGCUUCCAUCCCAGACACACAUACGCGGGAUUAAUCAAAUCACAGCUGCUUAGAUUUAGAAGAAUAUGUAGUCACUGGGAGGACUUUAUGGUGGCAACGAGAACUCUGUUUACGGCGCUGAGGAAUAGAGGUUAUCCUCGAUCCUUCCUCAGAAGGUGCUUUAAGACCUUUGAGCAGAUGAAACCGCUCACAGACUCCAGAAUCCUCCCGUUUGUCACUACAUACUCUCCUUCCACAGUCAAACUGGUCAGACAGGUCAAGACAAAUUUCACACGCACAAUCUUACACACGGCCAUUCUCCCAGAGCACAGGAUUAUAGCAGCAUUCAGAAAAAACAGAAAUUUGCAUGAUUACUUGGUGAGAGCUAAAAUCAGGCCACUGCAGGCCACAACGGAAAAAGGAUAUGUUAGUUUUUUUAAACAAAAGGAGUGGGUCCACAGUACAGACAGGAACACAGUUUAUAAGGUGGAGGUGAGAGGCAAUCCUCGUAGUAGGAACUGUGUCUAUUUGGUCAUAUGCACGUCCUGUGGAGUACAGUAUGUUGGGGAGACAUGUAACACGCUGCUCACCAGAUUCACCCAACACAGACACAACAUACUGAAACAAAAAAAGACCCACACCCACUUCGUCCAACAUUUUCUACGCCACGGAUGGGAUGCUGUAAAGGCCACAGUUUUACAGGCCAAUCCCAGGUGGUCACAGAGUCAGAGGCGUAAGGCGGAGAGGGUGUGGAUCCACAAAUUGGACACACAAUUUCCUCGGGGCCUGAAUGAGAAAUAGCAGGGCCUUCACUGGGCAUGGGGAUGGCCUGUGCAUGGACUUCUGUCGCCGGCUCUUGGCGAUGGAAUUCCUUUCCCUCUCCCUACCCCAACAACCUCAGUUCAUAAUCUUACCUAAAGAGUUGACCAAACCUAGUCACCAUUACAACCCAACCCAUAGCUCUUUCUAAACUCAACCAAUACAGGAACUAGUCUGAAACAUCUAAGAUCAUGUGUACAUUUAAUUCUUAUCUGUGCCUUUCCAUAUGUACCUCUAUUACUCUUGCAAAGUGACUCAAGUAUCAGGGAACAUGAGUGACAUGCGUCGGCCCGGGCAUUGCCGCUGGCUCUCCACACCAAACUGCCUAGUCCACGGACGAAAGCGGGGAGAGUCAU